Molecule: ribosomal RNA, 481 nt
Filed under: uncultured bacterium
Lineage: Bacteria
Description: partial 16S ribosomal RNA
Rfam family: Bacterial small subunit ribosomal RNA
Source: RNAcentral
GACGAACGCUGGCGGCGUGCUUAACACAUGCAAGUCGAGCGGUAAGGCCCUUUCGGGGGUAUACGAGCGGCGAACGGGUGAGUAACACGUGAGCAACCUGCCCUUCUCUUUGGAAUAAGCGUUGGAAACGACGUCUAAUGCCGAAUAUGACCCCCUGUCGCAUGGUGGGGGGUGGAAAGCUCUGGCGGAGAAGGAUGGGCUCGCGGCCUAUCAGCUUGUUGGUGUGGGUAAUGGCCCACCAAGGCGACGACGGGUAGCCGGCCUGAGAGGGUGACCGGCCACACUGGGACUGAGACACGGCCCAGACUCCUACGGGAGGCAGCAGUGGGGAAUAUUGGACAAUGGGCGAAAGCCUGAUCCAGCAACGCCGCGUGAGGGAUGACGGCCUUCGGUUUGCAAACCUCUUUCAGCAGGGACGAAGCGAGAAUGACGGUACCUGCAGAAGAAGGACCGGCCAACUACGUGCCAGCCGCCGCCGUAA